This 253-nucleotide unclassified non-coding RNA is filed under the name uncultured Caryophanales bacterium. Its description in RNAcentral is "uncultured Bacillales bacterium contains 16S-23S intergenic spacer region". It matches the Rfam family "Bacterial small subunit ribosomal RNA", at positions 524 to 776 of the family's 1533-position model. The record is from RNAcentral. Lineage: Bacteria; Bacillati; Bacillota; Bacilli; Caryophanales.
UACGUAGGGGGCAAGCGUUGUCCGGAAUUAUUGGGCGUAAAGGGCACGCAGGCGGUCUGUUAAGUCUGAUGUGAAAGCCCACGGCUCAACCGUGGAGGGUCAUUGGAAACUGGCAGACUUGAGUGCAGAAGAGGAGAGCGGAAUUCCACGUGUAGCGGUGAAAUGCGUAGAUAUGUGGAGGAACACCAGUGGCGAAGGCGGCUCUCUGGUCUGUUACUGACGCUGAGGUGCGAAAGCGUGGGGAGCAAACAGG